UGAAAGAAUAUGAGGCCAAAGUCAAA
RNAcentral lists this non-coding RNA (26 nucleotides) under Mus musculus (house mouse). The record is from RNAcentral. Lineage: Eukaryota; Metazoa; Chordata; Mammalia; Rodentia; Muridae.